UAUUUUUAAUAAAAAUUGAAAAUAAAGAUGAAUUUUUCUUUCUGUAUUCAAGAAAAAAAAUAGUGUAAAAGGAAAAAAAAAGAAAGGAAAUUGAAUAGCUGGACCUGCUAGCAAAUUGAAAUGUGACUGAAAUUACUUCGUUUUCCCUUAGAAGUCAGACUGUGUAGCGCUUUAUAGUCCAUAAAUUAAGUAGGCGGUGAGACUUGUGUUCUUGAAGAGGGAGGUUGGCCCAGUUGGGCGGGGCUCAGUGUAACGGCUCCUUUCUCCACUAGAGGACGCUGCUAGCCUACUGGCAUGGAUUGUUGCGGAGCUAGUAGGUGCGUGUGCGUAUGCGCAUGCGUGGGAGUGGUAAAAAUGGCUUCACCCAUCUACACAGUCUGUUCUCCCGGAUCAGCAAUGGUGCACCCGUCCUCUGUCUUCAGCUUUCAUCCACUCCCUGUUUCCUCACUGUCCGUGACCAAGCCCCAGGCAAUACCUCUCUGCCGAGUUUUGUCUCAGAUGUGGCUGUUUUCCCCUGCCCCUUACUUCUGAAGGACUGAGGCUUUGACCUGUUCCAGCCCCUCUGCAGGAGGGCUCACCAAGCAAUGGCCGAAUGUACCCACGAACGCCUGCUGGAACCUGCUGCUGCCGGUGCCCCGAAACUGCGGCCAGGUGCCAGCCCGCCCCAGCAAAAGUUCACGAGACAGUGUAGCAGCAGCGUUUCAGGGAUUAUGGGCACCAGGCUUUACCCUCAACGGCCUUGUUCCAGCAUCAGUGAAUGUGGCCACCUUCUGGGGUCUGCUGCGACCAGGGGGCCUCAACAAUCUCUGCCUUCCAGCAAUGGAACUGCUUUUCCCAGUGUGGCCUAAGAACCUCCCGGACCCCACUCUGUUCCUGGGGAUUCGCCCUUCCCACCAGAGCACCUCCAGGACACUCUGAAAUGAUCUUAUUCAUGUGGUUGUUUUCCUUCACCAGAAUGGAAAUGCCAGGACUGGAAGGAUCUUGGGUGCUGUUCUUCUGGUAGACUAACCACUACAACAAUGCCAAGAAAUUAGUUGGUACAUAAAAAUAAUUGGUGAAUGACUUCUAGGUAUAUACCCAAAAGAAGUGAAUGCAGGGACUGUAACAGGUAUUAGACACUCAUGUCCAUGGCAGCCUUAUUCGCCAUAGCCAAAAGCUGAAAGCAAUUUAAUUGUCAAUCGAUGAAUAAAUGAAUAAACAAAAAUAUGUUAUAUGCAUACAAUGGAACAUUAUUCAGCCCUUCUGACACAUGAUACAACAUGGAUGAACCCUGAGGACAUUAUGCUAUGUGAAAUAAGCCAGACGUAAAGGAACAAAAAUGGUGUGAUUCCACUUACAUGAGAUACCUGGAGGAGUCAAAUUAAUAGAGGCAGAAAGUAGAAUCGUGAUUGCCAGGGGCUCAAGGGAGGAGGAAUAGGGAGUUGUUAUUUGAUGGGUACAGAGUUAUAGUUUGGGAAGAUGAAAAAGUUCCAGAAGUGGAUGGUAUAAUGGCCACACAACAAUGUGAAAGUACUUAACUUCACUGAACAGUGUACUUAAAAGCGGUUAAAAUGGUAAAUUUUAUCUGUAUUUCACAACAAUAAAACAGAAAUUGGUGGAUCA
This is a long non-coding RNA of Felis catus (domestic cat), 1602 nucleotides long. RefSeq lists it as uncharacterized. The transcript has 2 exons. Lineage: Eukaryota; Metazoa; Chordata; Mammalia; Carnivora; Felidae. The record is from RefSeq and is a predicted model, not a curated record.